GCUGAGCAGUUGGCAGGGUUGAGACUGAUUGCAUCAUGAGAGAGGUUGUGAAAUUGAGAGCCAUUGUCUCAUUGCUGCUGGUGAAACGGUGUACUUAUAACAGUGAAGAAUGCCAUGAUUUUCCAUUCAACACACAAUGCUAUAGGAAGUGGAUCAUUCUGGAAUGGAAAGGAGGAAAUCAGAGCACACGGAGGAAACCCACGCAGACACGGGGAGAGUGUGCAAACUCAACACAGACAGUCGCCCAAGACUAGCAUCAAGCCUGGGUCACUGGCUCUGUAAGGCAGCAGUGUUAACCACUCAGUCAUCAUGCCUUGGUGAAAGAUUCCGAGCUGCUACUUUCUCUGAAAUCUUUCUUGAUGUUGUUUCCUCCUGAAUUGGAGAACUGCAUAAGAGACUGUGUCUGAACUUACCUUUUUGCCAAGGGGUGUGUGUU
Long non-coding RNA from Hemiscyllium ocellatum (epaulette shark), 436 nucleotides. RefSeq lists it as uncharacterized. The record is from RefSeq and is a predicted model, not a curated record. Lineage: Eukaryota; Metazoa; Chordata; Chondrichthyes; Orectolobiformes; Hemiscylliidae. The transcript is spliced from 3 exons.